Long non-coding RNA from Loxodonta africana (African savanna elephant), 692 nucleotides. RefSeq lists it as uncharacterized. The transcript is spliced from 3 exons. NCBI's taxonomy places the organism in Eukaryota, Metazoa, Chordata, Mammalia, Proboscidea, Elephantidae. The record is from RefSeq and is a predicted model, not a curated record.
GAAAAGACAAGUGAUUCUUGGCCUGCAGGUACAGAUGUGGAAGCUGAGGCACAGGGAGAUUAAGUAACUCAUGCAAGAUCACAAAGCUGGACCAAGGUACAAAAGACCUGGAAGCAGAGAAAUUAUCACAAAGAAUAUUACAAAAGUAGGUAUGAUUUUUCUGCCCUAACAAUUUGACAGGGCACAUAUACACAGCAAGCAUUCGUGGCUGCUCUAUGAAGCCUUUCCUAGAGAAACAGCAGAACUCAUGUAUGUGAGAUUUACAUGAAAAAUAAUUACCUGUUGGCAUUUCAGCAAAGAAGAAAUUUCUCAUCAAUCAUUACCCGUAGCAUUCAUGUAUAUUCUUAAAUAUAAAGAAGAUGAUUAGAAGGAGCACAUGUAUGUGAAUAAGGAGCUAGAAUAGACUUGUUUCUGAAAUGAAAAUCCUAGUAUGAUUUGAAACAUAUUCCUCUUGUCUCCUUGUGCAUAACUCACGUUUCUCAGAAGCAUAGAAUAUUUUCAGUCCUCAAAAUUGAAACAGUAAUUGAUUUGUGAACCACUUUAAUUUAAUGAACAUAUAAUUUGUUUGAAUUAAAGAAAUACAAAAUAAAAUUCAGAGUACUGAAUUUCUCAAAUAUUUCCAAUUCUUUCCUUUCUUCCAUGAUUAUUAUGAACACUAAUUACUAAGUUUUACAUAAAAAAGGUUAAAGGCA